This 305-nucleotide ribosomal RNA is filed under the name uncultured bacterium. RNAcentral describes it as "bacterial SSU rRNA". It matches the Rfam family "Bacterial small subunit ribosomal RNA", at positions 338 to 660 of the family's 1533-position model. The record is from RNAcentral.
CCUACGGGGGGCAGCAGUGGGGAAUAUUGCACAAUGGGGGGAACCCUGAUGCAGCGACGCCGCGUGAGCGAAGAAGUAUCUCGGUAUGUAAAGCUCUAUCAGCAGGGAAGAAAAUGACGGUACCUGACUAAGAAGCUCCGGCUAAAUACGUGCCAGCAGCCGCGGUAAUACGUAUGGAGCAAGCGUUAUCCGGAUUUACUGGGUGUAAAGGGAGCGCAGGCGGCGCGCCAAGUCUGGUGUGAAACCCCGGGGCUCAACCCCGGGACUGCAUUGGAAACUGGCGUGCUGGAGUGUCGGAGGGGCAG